Molecule: ribosomal RNA, 497 nt
Filed under: uncultured bacterium
Lineage: Bacteria
Description: partial 16S ribosomal RNA
Rfam family: Bacterial small subunit ribosomal RNA
Source: RNAcentral
GAUGAACGCUGGCGGCGUGCCUAAUACAUGCAAGUCGAGCGAACAGACGAGGAGCUUGCUCCUCUGACGUUAGCGGCGGACGGGUGAGUAACACGUGGAUAACCUACCUAUAAGACUGGGAUAACUUCGGGAAACCGGAGCUAAUACCGGAUAAUAUAUUGAACCGCAUGGUUCAAUAGUGAAAGACGGUUUUGCUGUCACUUAUAGAUGGAUCCGCGCCGCAUUAGCUAGUUGGUAAGGUAACGGCUUACCAAGGCAACGAUGCGUAGCCGACCUGCGAGGGUGAUCGGCCACACUGGAACUGAGACACGGUCCAGACUCCUACGGGAGGCAGCAGUAGGGAAUCUUCCGCAAUGGGCGAAAGCCUGACGGAGCAACGCCGCGUGAGUGAUGAAGGUCUUCGGAUCGUAAAACUCUGUUAUUAGGGAAGAACAAAUGUGUAAGUAACUAUGCACGUCUUGACGGUACCUAGUCAGAAAGCCACGGCUAACUACGUG